GGAAAAGAAACUAACAAGGAUUCCCCUAGUAACUGCGAGUGAAGCGGGAAAAGCUCAAAUUUAAAAUCUGGCGGUCUCUUGGCCGUCCGAGUUGUAAUCUGGAGAAGCGUUUUCCGCGCUGGACCGUGUACAAGUCUCUUGGAACAGAGCGUCAUAGAGGGUGAGAAUCCCGUCCAUGACACGGACGACCAGGGCUCUGUGAUACGCUCUCGAAGAGUCGAGUUGUUUGGGAAUGCAGCUCAAAAUGGGUGGUAAAUUCCAUCUAAAGCUAAAUAUAGGCGAGAGACCGAUAGCGAACAAGUACCGUGAGGGAAAGAUGAAAAGCACUUUGGAAAGAGAGUUAAACAGUACGUGAAAUUGUUGAAAGGGAAACGCUUGAAGUCAGUCGCGUUGCGCACGAUUCAGCCUUGCCUCUCCCUCGGCUCGGUGCAUUUCGUGCGUGACGGGUCAACAUCGGUUUUAGCCGACGGAUAAGGCGUGGGAGAAUGUGGCACCCCGUUCGGGGUGUGUUAUAGCUCUUACGUAUAUACGCCGGCCGGGACCGAGGACGGCAGCGCGCCCCUGGUGGCCGGAGGUUCGCCUCACGUUUUCGCGCUUAGGAUGUUGGCAUAAUGGCUUUAAGCGACCCGUCUUGAAACACGGACCAAGGAGUCUAACAUGCUCGCGAGUGUUAGGGUGGAAAACUCUUGCGCGGAAUGAAAGUAAAUGUUGUUAGAGCCCUCCGCAAGGGGGUGCAUCGACGCCCGGCCCUGAAGUUUACGGACGGUGCUGCGGUGGAGCGCGCAUGUUGGGACCCGAAAGAUGGUGAACUAUGCCUGAAUAGGGCGAAGCCAGAGGAAACUCUGGUGGAGGCUCGUAGCGAUUCUGACGUGCAAAUCGAUCGUCAAAUUUGGGUAUAGGGGCGAAAGACUAAUCGAACCAUCAAUUGCU
RNAcentral lists this ribosomal RNA (930 nucleotides) under Fuscoporia sp. QC-2018a. RNAcentral describes it as "partial 28S ribosomal RNA". It matches the Rfam family "Eukaryotic large subunit ribosomal RNA", at positions 55 to 952 of the family's 3401-position model. Lineage: Eukaryota; Fungi; Basidiomycota; Agaricomycetes; Hymenochaetales; Hymenochaetaceae. The record is from RNAcentral.